This 285-nucleotide long non-coding RNA is filed under the name Hordeum vulgare. RNAcentral describes it as "long non-coding RNA (HVUL_LNC000112)". Lineage: Eukaryota; Viridiplantae; Streptophyta; Magnoliopsida; Poales; Poaceae. The record is from RNAcentral.
UCAAGCACAGAUCGGCCCGACGGCCGCGCGACGCGGCGAGUAACCUGCCGCUAAUUACGCAAGGGGAAAACAGAAAGGCACAGACAGAUCCGUUUUUCCAGAUUUUAAGAUCGCCGCCUUCAACUUUUGAUCAUCGGUACUGCUAAACGAAAUUUCCACGCGUUGCCGAUCACAGUGCUUGCAUCGUUGGUGGCCUGCGUGGUGUGCCUGGCCUAGCUGACGACGGGGAGGAUACAAGGUUCAGUCUGCUGCUACUGCUGUUGUUCGCUGUAUUCUGUAUUCUGC